UGGGGAAUAUUGCACAAUGGGCGCAAGCCUGAUGCAGCCAUGCCGCGUGUAUGAAGAAGGCCUUCGGGUUGUAAAGUACUUUCAGCGGGGAGGAAGGGAGUAAAGUUAAUACCUUUGCUCAUUGACGUUACCCGCAGAAGAAGCACCGGCUAACUCCGUGCUAGCAGCCGCGGUAAUACGGAGGGUGCAAGCGUUAAUCGGAAUUACUGGGCGUAAAGCGCACGCAGGCGGUUUGUUAAGUCAGAAGUGAAAUCCCCGGGCUCAACCUGGAAACUGCAUCUAAUACUGGCAAGCUUGAGUCUCGUAGAGUGAAGUAGAAUUCCAGGUGUAACGGUGAACAGCGUAGAAAUCUGGAGGAAUACCGGUGGCGAAGGCGACCCCCAGGACGAAGACUGACGCUCAGGUGCGAAAACGUGGGGAGCAAACAGG
Molecule: ribosomal RNA, 429 nt
Filed under: Chloroflexota bacterium
Lineage: Bacteria; Bacillati; Chloroflexota
Description: Chloroflexi bacterium partial 16S ribosomal RNA
Rfam family: Bacterial small subunit ribosomal RNA
Source: RNAcentral